Molecule: non-coding RNA, 27 nt
Filed under: Rattus norvegicus (Norway rat)
Lineage: Eukaryota; Metazoa; Chordata; Mammalia; Rodentia; Muridae
Source: RNAcentral
UGUCCAUUCAGAACGUUGAGGGCCAGC